GCAGAACACAAAAGCAACUGCAUUGUGUGGAAGCUAUUUUAAACCAAAGGAACAAAUGGAUUUGUGAUAGGCCUACUUAAACCAGCGCCCCCCACCAGGGUCGACAGAAGCGUCCGAUCCCACGCGUCGGCCUUGACCCGUGACAAUCACUUCACUCCAGACCAGUUUCAAACAAAUUGAGCUGGUGGAGUGAUAAAACUUAAACCAGAUGCUGUGCCAACCAGUUUUGGUGAUCGUAAGCUACCAGAGGGAUGUAAAGCUCCUGCUGAGAGGAAACCUGUCGGCCUACUAGAGAAACGAACUGAGGAUACCGAGGUUGGAGAGCCUUCAAAUGUGACCAAUGACAUCAGUCCUGCAGAGAACUUGGACACUACAGAAGAUGAUGUCCCCACCCUGAAGAACCUAGUACAACAGCUUCAGGCUGGAAUUGAAGCUUUAGAGGGAA
This is a long non-coding RNA of Schistocerca cancellata (South American locust), 445 nucleotides long. RefSeq lists it as uncharacterized. The transcript is spliced from 4 exons. NCBI's taxonomy places the organism in Eukaryota, Metazoa, Arthropoda, Insecta, Orthoptera, Acrididae. The record is from RefSeq and is a predicted model, not a curated record.